GAACACCAAGCCUUGAAAACACACAUGCACCGGCACAUGGUCCCGGGUGCCGCUGGCAACGUUUUACGCUGCCAAUGGUCGGAUCCAUGGGGUGCGUGGAGGCCUAACC
Molecule: small RNA, 109 nt
Filed under: Vreelandella arcis
Lineage: Bacteria; Pseudomonadati; Pseudomonadota; Gammaproteobacteria; Oceanospirillales; Halomonadaceae
Description: Halomonas arcis t44 RNA
Rfam family: t44 RNA
About the family: This family consists of a number of bacterial RNA genes of between 135 and 170 bases in length. The t44 gene is found between the map and rpsB genes in all species in the full alignment apart from Shigella flexneri.
Source: RNAcentral